RNAcentral lists this ribosomal RNA (288 nucleotides) under Triticum aestivum (bread wheat). RNAcentral describes it as "partial small subunit ribosomal RNA". The record is from RNAcentral. Lineage: Eukaryota; Viridiplantae; Streptophyta; Magnoliopsida; Poales; Poaceae.
AUGGCGGCGCCGUGGAGCGAGAGCGAGAACGAGAGGUUUGAGCGCGCGCUGGACACGUACGACCGCGACACGCCCGGCCGCUGGGACCGCGUCGCCGCCGCCGUCGGGGGCGGCAAGACGGCCGACGACGUCAGGCGCCACUACGACCGGCUCGUCGACGACCUCCGCCGCAUCGAGGCCGGCGCCAACUCCAAUGGCGGAACUCAUGACGCCGGCAGCAGCAGCAACGGCGCGGGGAAUAACGGAAGCAGAGGAGGGUCAGGGGGCAGCCGGCGGCCCCAGACAUAA